CCUACGGGAGGCAGCAGUGGGGAAUAUUGGACAAUGGACGAAACCCUGAAGCAGCGACGCCGCGUGAGCGAUGAAGUAUUUCGGAAUGUAAAGCUCUAUUUGUAGGGAAGAAAAUGACGGUACGUGACUAAGAAGCCCCGGCUAAUUACGUGCCAGCAGCCGCGGUAAUACGUAGGGGGCAAGCGUUAUCCGGAUUUACUGGGGGUAAAGGGAGCGUAGUCGGUGGUGCAAGCUAGAUGUGAAAGGCCGGGGCUCAACCCCGGGACGGCAUUUGCAACUGUGCAGCUAGAGUGUAGGAGAGGCAGGCGGAAUGCCUAGUGUAGCGGUGAAAUGCGUAGAUAUUAGGAGGAACACCAGUGGCGAAGGCGGCCUACUGGACGAUAACUGACGUUGAGGCUCGAAAGCGUGGGGAGCAAACAGGAUUAGAUACCCGUGUAGUC
This 440-nucleotide ribosomal RNA is filed under the name uncultured bacterium. RNAcentral describes it as "partial 16S ribosomal RNA". It matches the Rfam family "Bacterial small subunit ribosomal RNA", at positions 338 to 795 of the family's 1533-position model. The record is from RNAcentral.